CGGGUAGAGUAACACGUAAACAACCUGCCUUCAGGAUGGGGACAACAGACGGAAACGACUGCUAAUACCGAAUAAGUUCCAAGAGCCGCAUGGCCCAUGGAAGAAAAGGUGGCCUCUACCUGUAAGCUAUCGCCUGAAGAGGGGUUUGCGUCUGAUUAGCUGGUUGGAGGGGUAACGGCCCACCAAGGCGACGAUCAGUAGCCGGCCUGAGAGGGUGAACGGCCACAUUGGGACUGAGACACGGCCCAAACUCCUACGGGAGGCAGCAUG
Molecule: ribosomal RNA, 270 nt
Filed under: uncultured bacterium
Lineage: Bacteria
Description: partial 16S ribosomal RNA
Rfam family: Bacterial small subunit ribosomal RNA
Source: RNAcentral